GCGUGAUGUGCAGCAUUACCAGAUGAGACUUCCUCUUUACUGGGGAUCUUUCCUGAGCCUUGGGGGAGCUGCUCACCAUGAAUCCCAGGCUUCUGUUUGUCCUUGCUGCCUUUCUGAAUUCAGGAGCAGUUUGGUUUGACAGUUCUGAUUCUAGGAUUUUCAUGAGGUUGGCGUCAGAUCUCAGCUGGAGCUGCAGGCAUCUGAUGGUUUGAAGUUGGAGGAUCCAUCCCCAAGGUACCUCACCAAAAGAUUGUCAAGCUCAAACGCAGUGGCUGAUCCUCACUGACUCCUCUUCCUAAGGUUGUUGUACUAGGAGCAUCUCCUAACACUACACGGACACAAUUCAAUGACAAAAAUCAGAGAAGGUCUACAGACUGUACAAGAAACAUGGAAUCAGCAUCUCUAUCUGAUGAAGGCCUUAGGAAUCUUCCACUCAUGGAGGAAGGAAAACAAAACAAAACUUCUGGAAUGCCUCUUCAUCUGUACUUAACAUCUGAAGCCUCUUCCACCUGAAUGAUGAAGAUGUCAAAUAUUCUCAGCCUCAAAUUAAUGUGUCAAGUACAUUGGAUUUGUAUCUUUGUGUUCUUUCCUAUCUUCUUAAAAAAUUGUGCUAAUUACAUUUUCAAAAAUUGUUGUUUUUCUAACAUAUUGGUUACAAUAUCAAUAUAUGUGGCUUAAUAAAAUAGUCUCUGAGAACAUGUGCUUUUCUGAAUGUGUCAGGUGGCAGCUUGCUUUUAACAAUAUUGUAAGUUUUUAUAAUCAGAUUUAAAUUGUGUUUAUCUAAAAUAUUUAUGAACAUUGAAUUUAUGGUGAACAAAGCAGAGUCUUCUUUCAAAUCGCAUGUAGUUAUGUUUCAAAUAUGUGAAAUUUUUGAAUACUUCAUUAAAAUUUUAUUUUAAUAGAACACAUUAAAU
Molecule: long non-coding RNA, 914 nt
Filed under: Homo sapiens (human)
Lineage: Eukaryota; Metazoa; Chordata; Mammalia; Primates; Hominidae
Description: HSALNT0174362
Source: RNAcentral